RNAcentral lists this long non-coding RNA (990 nucleotides) under Mus pahari (shrew mouse). RNAcentral describes it as "lncRNA (MGP_PahariEiJ_G0002450.1)". The record is from RNAcentral. Lineage: Eukaryota; Metazoa; Chordata; Mammalia; Rodentia; Muridae.
UCGCAGACGCCCGCCAUGUUCCGAGAGCCACACACUGUCCCCGCCACCUCCCUCCAGCCGCCCGCCCGGCCUCCGCCUCCCGCCGGCCCCCUCGCCGCCUCGCCCCGCCCCUCGCCCGAGCCCGGGCAGCCGCCCUCCGUAGCCCGCCGGCCGGCGCGCGCCAUUGGCGUCAGCGGCGCGUGGGAGGCCGCGGUGGCCGCCGCCACGGCCGCCGCCAUCUUCUUCCUGCCGUCGCCGUGGCGCGCGGCGGGCUCUGCGGACCGGGGCGCCGCGCCGGGCUCCAUGCCGCCGGGUCGCGCGGUGGGGGACGGCGGGCGGCGGCGGGGCUCGGCGUGGUGGUCGGCGCGGCCGGAGCCCCUUGUGCCCGUGCGGUGGCCGGAGUGCGCCGGCGCGACCCGCCUGGCCUUGGCUGCGCGGCGACUGGAGCCGGGCUCCAGCUCUGUGGCUCCCGCCGGCGCCGACCCGGUAGCUCUGCCGUCUUGGCUGCAUCUCUCCUGCAUAUUUAUGAUCGUCUGUCACAUUCCCUGUCCGUGGACAGUGUCCAAAGCCUAGCUCGGGGGAGCGUGCCAACAGCCUGCUGAGGAUAUAGCCAAGUGGAGAACUGCUUAAGCAAAUUGAAAUGCAGGCCUGGCCUGAAAUUUUUCCUAGCUAACAGUCCAGUUUCACCUUGGAAAUAAGCUUGCUGAAGUUGAAAACAUGAUAGAAACUUUGCCUUAUUAUUUGCAAAUGCUUAUGAUACAGAAAAAAAAAAUUUAAGCUCUACCAGCCUGAAGCAUCCACCUGACAUAACCUUAACACUCCAGGGACUGCGUUGGGAUGGACAAAAUAAAGCAGCCGUGGGGCUAUUGCAGUCAGAUCCGUUCUUUCUUUCCGUGCUCACUCUGUAGAAGCCUGUCCCUGGGCUGCUCUGAUGGAGCCCCAAGCCUCUUCUGAUUUUGUACUUUGGAAUCUCUGAAUUGUUGCUUGCUCAAAUAAAUUCUUGAACAUUUU